UCAGAAAGAAGAGUGACCCAGAAUCUCCCUUUCUCUCCCCAUACCUCGUUGAAAACUCCCAUGUUGGAGACCAGCGGCUGAAGAAGCUUAUAAUUCCCCACCUGCAAUACACCAUGGAAAUUAACAUCUGGGCCAGAACUGGGCUGGUCUCCAACAGGAAGUUUUCAACCAGGUGGUGAGCACUGGUGGGGAAGCCAUGUGGAGCUGCUCAAGCGAGCUGGAGCCUUUCUAACCUAUAGCUCCUUCUGUCCCCCUGAUGACUUGGCUGUCCAGGGCCUCCUGGGAGUCAAGUCUUCCUUCUUUGCCAAGAUGCACUGCAGCUCCGGGAAAUCAUCUCUCGGGGCAGAGCUGGCUUCAACACUCUGGCCCUGCCCCAUUGGCUGGCCGGUAUGUGGAAGGAAUCAUAAGUCUCCACUGUAAGACAGACGUGGCUGUGAACAGUGACCCAGAGCUGCAGACCUGGUGUCGAGAGAUCAUUGAAAUCCGGCUGCCCAGGACCGAGUCUCAGGACCAGGUUUGCCAUUUUGUCACCACAUGUAUCUUUGCCUGCACUGGCCGACACUCCUUCGUCCACCUGGACCAGCUGGAUUGGUACAUUUGGGUCCCUAAUGCACCCUGCACGAUGUGGCUGCCAACCACCAAGGAUGCAACACUGCCCAACUUUCCAGAUGUCCUCUCCAGAUGUCCAUCAGUUGGCAGCUGA
This 703-nucleotide long non-coding RNA is filed under the name Pan troglodytes (chimpanzee). Its description in RNAcentral is "lncRNA (ENSPTRG00000053207.1)". Lineage: Eukaryota; Metazoa; Chordata; Mammalia; Primates; Hominidae. The record is from RNAcentral.